This is a non-coding RNA of Pelobates cultripes (western spadefoot toad), 112 nucleotides long. Lineage: Eukaryota; Metazoa; Chordata; Amphibia; Anura; Pelobatidae. The record is from the annotation of a GenBank genome assembly.
GUGUAUCAGUGAGUGAGUGUAUGUUUGUCAGUGAGUGUGUGUCUGCCAGUAUGUGUCUGGCAGACACACACUGGCAGACACACACACUCACUGACAGACAUGUACAUGAACU